AUUGAACGCUGGCGGCAUGCCUUACACAUGCAAGUCGAACGGCAGCACGGGGGCAACCCUGGUGGCGAGUGGCGAACGGGUGAGUAACAUAUCGGAACGUGCCCUGGAGUGGGGGAGUAACUAGUCGAAAGACUAGCUAAUACCGCAUACGAUCUACGGAUGAAAGUGGGGGAUCGCAAGACCUCAUGCUCGUGGAGCGGCCGAUAUCUGAUUAGCUAGUUGGGGGGUAAAGGCCUACCAAGGCAUCGAUCAGUAGCUGGUCUGAGAGGAUGAUCAGCCACACUGGGACUGAGACACGGCCCAGACUCCUACGGGAGGCAGCAGUGGGGAAUAUUGGACAAUGGGCGCAAGCCUGAUCCA
RNAcentral lists this ribosomal RNA (360 nucleotides) under uncultured bacterium. RNAcentral describes it as "bacterial SSU rRNA". It matches the Rfam family "Bacterial small subunit ribosomal RNA", at positions 30 to 390 of the family's 1533-position model. The record is from RNAcentral.